Molecule: ribosomal RNA, 813 nt
Filed under: Triticum aestivum (bread wheat)
Lineage: Eukaryota; Viridiplantae; Streptophyta; Magnoliopsida; Poales; Poaceae
Description: partial small subunit ribosomal RNA
Source: RNAcentral
CGUCAUUUUAGGUAGAAUAAUGCGCAACUCCAUUUGUUUUUCUGUUAGAGAACGUCGGUCUUUAUUGAUCAAGCAACAAAUUUACAAAGAGUCUCCUGGAUGCAAUCCGGAGCAGAAAGAAAAGUACAUGGACUAGUAGAGCUCAAACUAGAUCUAGCUAAGACAUGAGCUAAAACAUUGUACUGCCGACGAACAUGCUGGAAAGUUGCAGAAGAAAGACCAUUUGCCAUCACUUUGACGUCCAUGAGAAUAGAACCCACCACCGAGCGGUCACUAGAAGAAGAUUUCAAGCGCUGCACCAUCGAGAGGCAAUCUGUGUUGAAGAUAACAUCAUCAAAUCCCUCAUCACAUGCAAAACGAACCGCUCGACGGAGUGCUAAGGCCUCAGCUACCUCUGGAGACAGUGCACCCCUCAACGGAUCAGAACAGGCACCUACACACAAGCCCUCAUGGUUGAGCACCACCACCCCUAUUCCGGAUUUAUGUUGCUCCACCGACACAGCCGCAUCGGAGAAAGCCACCACUAUACCUUGCGACGGCGGAGACCAUUGACGAUCAGUAUACGAGGUCUCACGCCUGGAAGCAAGUACAGGCUUGUAGAGGUGUUGGAGGAUCAGGUCAAUGUAAGCCUUGGCCCUGGUAGCAGUGCGCACCGGCGGAGGCGGCAUCGGCUCAUUCCUCGCCGCGUUCCGCGCCUCCCAGAUACGCCAUAUGGAGACAGUGAUGAUCGUCGCUUCCUGAUCCGAGCAGCUAGAAAGGAAGUCGAAGAGCUACUACUUGGGAGAUGUGAAGGAGGACCGCCGUAGCCUGAUG